GCGAGCGGCGGAUGGGUGAGUAACACGUGGGGAACCUGCCCCUAAGUCUGGGAUACCAUUUGGAAACAGGUGCUAAUACCGGAUAAUAAAGCAGAUCGCAUGAUCAGCUUUUGAAAGGCGGCGUAAGCUGUCGCUAAGGGAUGGCCCCGCGGUGCAUUAGCUAGUUGGUAAGGUAACGGCUUACCAAGGCGACGAUGCAUAGCCGAGUUGAGAGACUGAUCGGCCACAUUGGGACUGAGACACGGCCCAAACUCCUACGGGAGGCAGCAGUAGGGAAUCUUCCACAAUGGACGCAAGUCUGAUGGAGCAACGCCGCGUGAGUGAAGAAGGUUUUCGGAUCGUAAAGCUCUGUUGUUGGUGAAGAAGGAUAGAGGUAGUAACUGGCCUUUAUUUGACGGUAAUCAACCAGAAAGUCACGGCUAACUACGUGCCAGCAGCCGCGGUAAUACGUAGGUGGCAAGCGUUGUCCGGAUUUAUUGGGCGUAAAGCGAGCGCAGGCGGAAAAAUAAGUCUAAUGUGAAAGCCCUCGGCUUAACCGAGGAACUGCAUCGGAAACUGUUUUUCUUGAGUGCAGAAGAGGAGAGUGGAACUCCAUGUGUAGCGGUGGAAUGCGUAGAUAUAUGGAAGAACACCAGUGGCGAAGGCGGCUCUCUGGUCUGCAACUGACGCUGAGGCUCGAAAGCAUGGGUAGCGAACAAAAAUUAGAUACCCUGGUAGUCCCAUGCCCGUAAACGAUGAGUGCUUAAGUGUUGGGGAAGGUUUCCCGCCUCUCAGUGCU
RNAcentral lists this ribosomal RNA (778 nucleotides) under uncultured bacterium. RNAcentral's name for it is "bacterial SSU rRNA". It matches the Rfam family "Bacterial small subunit ribosomal RNA", at positions 91 to 847 of the family's 1533-position model. The record is from RNAcentral.